GAGGCUGUUGCACUGUGCGUCUGAGUCACGUGACGGAACUGUUGAGCAGCUGGGUGUGCUGUGUCGGACAGUUAAUGGCGACGCACGCAAUUAAUUCAAGAAAAAUCACCGGUGGCUCGGUAGCGUGUUUGUAAAGAAUGCCUACCUGUACGCAGUUAUCAUCCAUCUGUAGCAGAGACAGCCGGGGGCAACCUAGUGAUGCCAAACCCCGACUCUCCCUCAGGCCUGUGAAGGGCAGCCAAAACAGAUUAAUCACCUCAACACAUCUGAGUCACUAAGACGCUGGUGUUUCUUCACUGCCCUCUCUCUGUCGUCCUGCUCCUCUUCAUCGGCACCGAGCCUCCUGCUUCUCAAAACCAGCGUUCUCCUCCAGCUAAAGCUUUUGAGGAAGCCCAAACGAGAGGGCUAAAUACACCGUUUUCCCCUAUCCUUCAUCCCUAAACUGCAUGUUGACCUUUGCACCACUGCCUCCAGGCUGUAUGCUUUAACCUUUCCGGUGAGAUAGAGGGGGCUCUUGCACAAG
Oryzias melastigma (Indian medaka) is the source of this 523-nucleotide long non-coding RNA. RefSeq lists it as uncharacterized. The transcript is spliced from 3 exons. The record is from RefSeq and is a predicted model, not a curated record. Lineage: Eukaryota; Metazoa; Chordata; Actinopteri; Beloniformes; Adrianichthyidae.